AACGAACGCUGGCAGCAUGCCUAACACAUGCAAGUCGAACGAGACCUUCGGGUCUAGUGGCGCACGGGUGCGUAACGCGUGGGAACCUGCCCUUAGGUUCGGAAUAACUCCCCGAAAGGGGUGCUAAUACCGGAUAAUGUCUUCGGACCAAAGAUUUAUCGCCUUUGGAUGGGCCCGCGUUGGAUUAGCUAGUUGGUAGGGUAAAAGCCUACCAAGGCGACGAUCCAUAGCUGGUCUGAGAAGAUGAUCAGCCACACUGGGACUGAGACACGGCCCAGACUCCUACGGGAGGCAGCAGUGGGGAAUAUUGGACAAUGGGCGAAAGCCUGAUCCAGCAAUGCCGCGUGAGUGAUGAAGGCCUUAGGGUUGUAAAGCUCUUUUACCCGGGAUGAUAAUGACAGUACCGGGAGAAUAAGCUCCGGCUAACUCCGUG
Molecule: ribosomal RNA, 433 nt
Filed under: uncultured bacterium
Lineage: Bacteria
Description: partial 16S ribosomal RNA
Rfam family: Bacterial small subunit ribosomal RNA
Source: RNAcentral